This is a non-coding RNA of Anncaliia algerae PRA109, 73 nucleotides long. The record is from Rfam. NCBI's taxonomy places the organism in Eukaryota, Fungi, Microsporidia, Tubulinosematidae.
GGGGACAUAGCUCAGUUGGUAGAGCGCUUGAUUUGCAUUCAAGAGGCCGAGGGUUCGAUUCCUUCUGUCUCCA